GGGGCUGAUUGGUUUUGACAGCGGGUAGAAGAGGCAGGUAAGCAUGCAGGUUUUGGUUGUUGACCUUUAAAAUAAUAACCGAAACAAUAAUUGGCGAAAAUAACUACGCUCUUGCUGCGUAACCGAAUUAAGUAAGUUACCUUCAUUCCGGCACCAGGUGCUGGAACGAGACAUCGCCCGGAUGCUAUGCUUUGAAGCGGUCCGAUCAGGCGGUGCAAGUAAAUCGAAGCUAGUUUAAGCGAGUCUCCGGCGCUUUUACGAAAUUAAAGGAGAUAAGGUAAACUUUGGUGGCCCUGAUCCGGUGUUUACACGAAAAUCAAGUCUGGGGAUAAGCAUGUAGAAAGCUUGUGGCUUCCUCGUUUGGACGCGGGUUCGACUCCCGCCAGCUCCACAA
RNAcentral lists this transfer-messenger RNA (394 nucleotides) under Prolixibacteraceae. Its description in RNAcentral is "Draconibacterium sp003516705 Standard tmRNA". It matches the Rfam family "transfer-messenger RNA". Rfam says of the family: Bacterial tmRNA, also known as 10Sa RNA or SsrA, is named for its dual tRNA and mRNA-like properties. Its role is to liberate the mRNA from a stalled ribosome. To accomplish this part of the tmRNA is used as a reading frame that ends in a translation stop signal. RNAcentral also lists the same sequence under 1 other name. The record is from RNAcentral. Lineage: Bacteria; Pseudomonadati; Bacteroidota; Bacteroidia; Marinilabiliales.